RNAcentral lists this long non-coding RNA (1255 nucleotides) under Equus caballus (horse). Its description in RNAcentral is "lncRNA (ENSECAG00000054596.1)". The record is from RNAcentral. Lineage: Eukaryota; Metazoa; Chordata; Mammalia; Perissodactyla; Equidae.
AGUGCGACUGAGGACGUAGGGGAGGCUCAGAGCGGAAAAGUACUGAAUACUGCGUCAGAGUGGAGGAGAAUGCCUUCAAGUCCGGCACCCCCAUAAAGGAGUCUCAGUAGAUGCACCUGAGAAAGGCCUUAGCUGAAAGCCUUUGGAAAAAUGACCUCUGAAUUGAGGCACCUGAGCAAGGCAGUGUAUAUUGCAGAAGAGCAUAGCGGGCCAGUGUGGCCUGAGUCCCUGACUGCAACUCCGUCCUGAGACGGCAGCGUGUUGGCUGUGCCCCAGCUCAGUGUAGCGAGGACAGCUUUCUGCUCCUGAGGCCUGCUAGAUUUGGCAAUUAUGAAUAAAGCUGCUGUAAACAUUCGUGUGCAGGUUUCUAUGUGGACAUUAGUUUCAACUCCUUUCGGUAAAAAUCAAGGAGUGUGACUGCUGGAUCAUAUGGUAAGAGAGGUGGUAAAUGCCUAUCAGCCUGAGCCAUUGGGUGACCAUGUAGAUCAGACCAUCACUGGACAACUAGGGAGAGUACUUGUCAAACCAUCAGUGGACAUGUAGGACUCUGCUUGUUCAGAAAUUCUCCAGCAUGGCUGCAUCAAUGUAACAAAGCAUACCCUUUGUGCUAACCUCUGGUUGCUCAGCACUCUUGCAGGAAAAAAGCUAUCAGGAAGAAUACCUUUCAGUGCACAUUGGUGGUAUCCAGUCAUCAACAUACCCUCAAUAUUACUGAUUAUUUUUAUUUUAAUAAUUAUUAUUUUAUUAUUAGCAAAUAAAUAAUGAUAUUCAUUACUUUACAAGAGAGAGUUUCUUCUCCAUUCUUCUCAACAGUUAUUCCAAAUGUUUCUGGAAGUCCUCUGCAUUUCCUCAAGUCCUCUGCAGCUUCCUGCCAUCAUCUCUCUCAAAUGGUCAAGUGGCAUUGCUACCUUUUUUAUAGAGGAAGCAGAGAUUAUGCGACAAGAACACACAUCAUCUCCCAAAUCCACCUGCACAUUUACCUGCAAUUGCCCCUCUUCUUAAACAGCUGUCUUACAGGGAGAGCUAACCUUCCUAUUUACCCGCAUAAAUAAUUCUCCAUGCUUGUCUGUAGUCUCAACCAGGCAAGUCAGCAACUUACAGGUUCAGCACUAAAAUAUCUCGGGCAUUGUUGACUAAAUUUUGUUCCAAUAGAUUCACAUCUCAAUUUUUUAUGUUGCUCUAGGUUUCCAAUCUCAUUUCGAUGAAGAUUUAUUUAGGAAAAGAUUAAAAUAACCAUGUUUUUAAUCAUCCUCCU